UUCUCUUCUUUUUUCUUCCUCUCUGCCUCAUGUUCUUCUCUGCUCGUGUUCUGAGAGAAGAGUUUGUGAAAUAGAAGAGAAACUUAAGGGAAAACAUGGCGAGUUGGUCGUUGGUGAUGAUGUUAUGUUUUUUUGAGAACGGGAUGAAGAUGGUAGAGUUGUUACUGUCAAUUGAAGAUGUGAUUCCUAAAGUUAGGGUUUGAGUGGAAUUGAGAUGUAAAUCGUGUUGCUGAUAGAUAAAUAGGAAGAGGAUUGUUGUUAAUUGCUGCUAUUGAGUGGUUUCGAUGGUUGAAUCAAAGUUAGGGUUCUGUGAGUUGAAGAUGAUGAUUUGAUUGAAUGAAAUAACAGGAAAUUAAAGGACGAGUUUGAUAGUUUUGAAGAGUCUGAUUGAAGUUGGAGUUUGAAUCAGAGAAAAUAAGAUUUAGGAAUUGAAUUAGGGUUCAGUUGAAGACUAGUGGCGAUGGAUGAACUGAACUGUAGAGGUUUGGGAAUUAUUCAAGAGUUUACUGUGUAUGGAUGAGAGCGAAGAAGAUUGUUGAGGGUUGGUUGAACAGAACUUGUGGGGUGGUGAUAGUUUUGAGAAGAUUUUUUGGAUGGAUUCAAAACAAAGAAGAAUUGAUUCAACUAUUUGGGGAGAAACUAUUUUGAGGUAAUUGUUCUUUUAGUUCAGUUAGUAAUGUUUUGUUUGUCUUCAUUUUGGGUUCAUGAGCUAUGAGAUGUAGAUAUGAAGAUGAAUCUGAAUCAGUUUGUGAUGAAUGUUGAAUUGGUGAAGAGGUUAAACCUUAUAAGAAUAAUGGUAGCCAUAUUGGGUUGUGUUGGUGCUUGUAGUUCUGAAGUGUCAAUAUUAGGUUGGAGUGAUGAACUGUAGAUGAAUUUGAUGGUGGAAGAGCAAUAGUUGCUGAGAUUAAUAUCGCAAAGAUGUUUGUAGGAUAGAGGUUCCAGUGCAGGCUUGCAACUGCUCUUAUAGUUAGUUUAUAUUAACAACGAUCGAUUCAAGGACGAACCAGCGGAUCGUGGAUCUCGAGGUAGGCGUGGCUUGUCAUCAAAAGAGUUUUCAGAGACAGAACAGAGGUGCGCAGCGAAAGUCACAAGUGUUGACUCCGUUAAUUAGUUAACUUCCGCUAUGUUUAUUAUGUUACUUAUUGUAUCUGUAAACCAAUUGACUAUUGUAUAUGUAUCAUUUGAGAGAAGUUCAUGUAUAUAUAUUCUGAGCGAGGUUAGUUUUGGGAUAAGUUUUGUAGCAAAUUUCUGAAUUGAAUGUUUAAGUAUUUGAAUUAGAUUCGUAGUGCCUCUUUAUUUAGU
This is a long non-coding RNA of Papaver somniferum (opium poppy), 1302 nucleotides long. RefSeq lists it as uncharacterized. The record is from RefSeq and is a predicted model, not a curated record. Lineage: Eukaryota; Viridiplantae; Streptophyta; Magnoliopsida; Ranunculales; Papaveraceae. The transcript has 3 exons.